GUGUAGGGAUGGUGUGUGAGUGUGAGUGAGGAGGCAAUGAGGAGGGGUCUUUGUGUGCCUGGGGUGGGAAAUGAGUCUGUUUGUUCCCGUGGUGCCAUUCUGGAGCCAUUUUGUGGCUGUUUUUUUUGGGAGAUUAUUUUGGUGCCAUUUGGGAGCUGCUUUUAAGUCAUUUGUGGCUGUGCUGGGGUCAUUUUGGGGCUCUUUUAAAUUAUAUUCCAGACAAAACCUUCGUGCAGUGGGUGAGCAGUUGGCUGACGGGUUGGGCCCACGGGGUACAAUCAGUGGGGUUCCAUCUGGAACCAUCCCAGCUGGUGGCACUGCUCUGGGAGAGUUCUCCACAGCUCAGCGUCAACUUCAGAGUGAGGAGAUAAGGCAGUAAGUGUGUUAACACCGAGGAGAUUGGGUUGCAGGGAAAUUUGUAAUUGGACAUGCUGUUAUGUAAGGAGGUUUAUUCACGCUGCACCCAGAUACACCACUGCAAACAGAUGGAUUAAUGGAGAAAUUUAUCAGUUAUACAGAGAAAAAUAAUGUGAUCAAAUCAGAAUGAAUCUUCCCUUCCUUAGAGAUAGGAGAGCAAUUACAGCACAAUGGAGUCUGUGGAGAACAGAGAGGGGCCAUUGUAUGCACACAAUAGAGAGCAGAGAGAAAACUGCAAGGAGGAAAAAAAGCCACGGAGAAGGAGAUGGUGACUGAGAAAGAAACAGAAUAAAUGGCGUUAUCUGUGAUAAGGACAUGAUGUAAACGUGCAGCAUCACAGCAACAGCAGGGCCUUGGGGAGCGGAGCUGGGAUAGCUGUGGGCAGGGGCUGCACUUUCAGUUUCUUGAUCUUCAUAUGCUGCUCUUACACCCCAAUUAAAACCCUUUUGCUGCUGCUGAAAUCCAGUGUAACCAAUGGUUAGUGGUGGUGGCUCUUUGGCUGCUGCUUUGGGGCAGUGCUGGGGAUAUGUUGUCUGUUCAGGUGUGAGGAAUUUCUGACCUCUCCCUUUUCCCAGGCAGCCAGUUUUCUUCUAUGGCCCAGAAAUGGAUCCUAGAUGCUGAAACAAAAGCUCACAGGAAACGCAUGGGGAGCAGAAGCUGAAGCAUAUUGUGCUCCAAUACUGCUUUUUGUUCUAUCUGCUUUGUAGGUGGUGUUUAGGACACCAGAGUGCCCAGCACCCUUCCGCUUACAGCCUCACCCUGAUGUGAUGGGAUUCAGAUGAGUCGUCUUCAUCUGAUUAAUCUGAUUUCCUGGGGAAAAAGAAUAAAAAUCCAUUACAAUCCCAA
Molecule: long non-coding RNA, 1263 nt
Organism: Gallus gallus (chicken)
Lineage: Eukaryota; Metazoa; Chordata; Aves; Galliformes; Phasianidae
Exons: 2
Source: RefSeq, a predicted model, not a curated record